This is a long non-coding RNA of Hordeum vulgare subsp. vulgare (domesticated barley), 871 nucleotides long. RefSeq lists it as uncharacterized. Lineage: Eukaryota; Viridiplantae; Streptophyta; Magnoliopsida; Poales; Poaceae. The record is from RefSeq and is a predicted model, not a curated record. The transcript has 2 exons.
GAAUGGCCAUUUUGAGUCACUUGGUGACAUGAUGAUUCGAGGUAUGUAUACCUUGUCGCCGACGUGUGUUCCUGUGAUUAUUUGUGUCUCGAUGUAUUUGUUUCCAAGUUGUGUAAUUGUCAUUCUUGUACCAUUGCAUAAACCUGCUGCUUGGUUGAUGUUGCGUAGUAGCAUUACCGGCAAACCCAUCUUCAGUGUUAACUUAUGGUCUGGGAUUCCUGGGGAUGUCAAGGUGUUGAGGAACUCAGUAGGCUGCAUGUUCAUCAUGAUGUUGGUGUUUGUCGUAGCCUUGCACACUCUGUCCAGGCUUAGGUAAUCCCGCUCACGGUAUUUUUGCAGUAAGUUUGGGUAUAUGCUUUUGACGAUUUGUUCCUUACGAUUUUCUCCUUUCUCUAGCAGUAGGUCCUUUGGUAUUUUUAUCCAAUCCUCUCCUUCAUCUGAUGUUGUUUUCCCAUCGCCAAUCUGUAGUAUCCACUCUGCAAAUUCAGCUACUUUUUGCUUUUGUAUUGGAUCAUCCGACAAACACUUCAGCCGCAUGUUUUCUGUUAACUCAAAUAUUUCAAAGUGUUUCCACAGAUAUGACCUUUUGAUUGAAGCAUUAACUAUCUGCUCUCUCCUUCCUUUGGUUAUAACUGGCAGGAUUUGUCUGAAGUCGCCUCCUAGUAUAACUGUCAUUCCACCAAAUGGCUUUUCAUUGUUGUUUUCAUUAGUGAACCUGAGAAUAUCUCUAAGGCUUUUGUCUAGUGCCUCAAAGCAAUUCAGCCAAAUGCGACCCUUGAUUUAUUUCACACGUUGAUUCUUCAGUGAUAUUAAGUGGAAUGCGGAACCUUGAGUGUGCCGUUCUCCCACCUUGGAGAAGCAACGCUGCAAU